RNAcentral lists this transfer RNA (72 nucleotides) under Plicaturopsis crispa FD-325 SS-3. RNAcentral's name for it is "tRNA-Pro (CGG) (tRNA-Pro-CGG-1-1)". It matches the Rfam family "tRNA". Rfam says of the family: Transfer RNA (tRNA) molecules are approximately 80 nucleotides in length. Their secondary structure includes four short double-helical elements and three loops (D, anti-codon, and T loops). The record is from RNAcentral. Lineage: Eukaryota; Fungi; Basidiomycota; Agaricomycetes; Amylocorticiales; Amylocorticiaceae.
GGCGCAAUGGUCUAGUAGCAUGAUUCUUCCUUCGGGUGGAAGAGGUCCCGGGUUCAAUUCCCGGUUGCGCCC